RNAcentral lists this ribosomal RNA (1450 nucleotides) under metagenome. RNAcentral describes it as "bacterial SSU rRNA". It matches the Rfam family "Bacterial small subunit ribosomal RNA". The record is from RNAcentral.
GAGCUUGCUCGGAUGAGUAAAGUGGCGCACGGGUGAGUAACGCGUGGGUAACCUGCCCUUGAAUCUGGGAUAACUUCGCGAAAGCGUUGCUAAUACUGGAUAUCGUCCUGUUAACUGUGGUUUUCAGGAUGAAAGGUGGCCUCUUCAAGAAAGUUGCCGUUCAGGGAGGGGCCCGCGUACCAUUAGCUUGUUGGUAGGGUAAUGGCCUACCAAGGCGACGAUGGUUAGCUGGUCUGAGAGGAUGAUCAGCCACACUGGAACUGACACACGGUCCAGACUCCUACGGGAGGCAGCAGUGAGGAAUUUUGCGCAAUGGGGGAAACCCUGACGCAGCAACGCCGCGUGAGUGAAGAAGGCUUUCGGGUCGUAAAGCUCUGUCAAGUGGGAAAAAAUUUCUGUUGUGAAUAGCAACAGAACCUGAUGGUACCACUGGAGGAAGCACCGGCUAACUCCGUGCCAGCAGCCGCGGUAAUACGGAGGGUGCAAGCGUUGUUCGGAAUUACUGGGCGUAAAGAGCGUGUAGGCGGUCUGGUAAGUCAGAUGUGAAAGCCCUGGGCUCAACCCAGGAAGUGCAUUUGAUACUGCCAUUCUUGAGUAUGGGAGAGGAGAGUGGAAUUCCCAGUGUAGAGGUGAAAUUCGUAGAUAUUGGGAGGAACACCCGUGGCGAAGGCGACUCUCUGGACCAAUACUGACGCUGAGACGCGAAAGCGUGGGGAGCAAACAGGAUUAGAUACCCUGGUAGUCCACGCCGUAAACGAUGAGAACUAGGCGUAGCGGGUAUUGACCCCUGCUGUGCCGAAGUUAACGCAUUAAGUUCUCCGCCUGGGGAGUACGGCCGCAAGGCUAAAACUCAAAGGAAUUGACGGGGACCCGCACAAGCGGUGGAGCAUGUGGUUUAAUUCGACGCAACGCGAAGAACCUUACCUGGAUUUGACAUCCUCUGACAGUCCCGGAAACGGGAUCUUUUCGACUUGUCGAAACAGAGUGACAGGUGCUGCAUGGCUGUCGUCAGCUCGUGUCGUGAGAUGUUGGGUUAAGUCCCGCAACGAGCGCAACCCCUGUUUUUAGUUGCCAAUAUUAAGUUAGGCACUCUAAAAAUACUGCCUCGGUUAACGGGGAGGAAGGUGGGGAUGACGUCAAGUCCUCAUGGCCUUUAUAUCCAGGGCUACACACGUGCUACAAUGGGCUGUACAAAGGGUCGCUAUUCCGCGAGGAGCUAAUCCCAAAAAGCAGUUCUCAGUUCGGAUUGGAGUCUGCAACUCGACUCCAUGAAGGUGGAAUCGCUAGUAAUCGUGGAUCAGCAUGCCACGGUGAAUACGUUCCCGGGUCUUGUACACACCGCCCGUCACACCACGAAAGUCGACUGUACCAGAAGUUGCUGGGCUAACCCCUUUGGGGAGGUAGGUACCUAAGGUACGGCCGGUAAUUGGGGUGAAGUCGUAACAAGGUA